This 253-nucleotide ribosomal RNA is filed under the name uncultured bacterium. RNAcentral's name for it is "partial 16S ribosomal RNA". It matches the Rfam family "Bacterial small subunit ribosomal RNA", at positions 524 to 776 of the family's 1533-position model. The record is from RNAcentral.
UACGAAGGGGGCUAGCGUUGUUCGGAUUUACUGGGCGUAAAACGCACGUAGGCGGAUCGAUCAGUCAGGGGUGAAAUCCCAGAGCUCAACUCUGGAACUGCCUUUGAUACUGUCGAUCUGGAGUAUGGAAGAGGUGAGUGGAAUUCCGAGUGUAGAGGUGAAAUUCGUAGAUAUUCGGAGGAACACCAGUGGCGAACGCGGCUCACUGGUCCAUUACUGACGCUGAGGUGCGAAAGCGUGGGGAGCAAACAGG